Molecule: unclassified non-coding RNA, 636 nt
Filed under: Hevea brasiliensis (rubber tree)
Lineage: Eukaryota; Viridiplantae; Streptophyta; Magnoliopsida; Malpighiales; Euphorbiaceae
Source: RNAcentral
CAAAAAAAAAAAAAAAGUGAAAAUGAACAACAGCAAGUGCAGUAAAAAUCUGGUGAAAUUUGCACUUUCUCUGAGUGGCAGCUGUGGUAAACACAGUGCCUGCAACACAUUGAUUGAGGCCAAUGUAGAAAAAGAAAAAUAAAUUUAAAGACAAAUUUGAUAAAUUCAAGGCACCAAAUGGAAGGGAGACAACAAGAACAGUGAAAUUGGACAACGGAUUGCCUAGCUUCGUUAUUUUGUGUGUUUUCGCAGUUGCCAGUUGGAAUGAUUGAAGAACGGUGGGUGAAAAAUAUUGAAGGAAAUGAGAAGGAGAUGUCAACAUUUCCACUGCCAUAUUACAUUUAUUUUCCAUGGCAGUGAAAGCAGAAAGAAAGUUAUGCUUCAUUGAUUUGACACAUGCUCUCACUAAAUGUUUGAAUGUUCCAGGUGCCUCAGAUUUUAUCUGUAUAUUAUAUUUUUUUUCUAAUUAAUUUUAACUAAAUUACAAUUAAAUUCUUAAUUUAAAACACAAUUUAUAAAUUAUUAUUACAACAUGUAAUCUUUAAAUUUAUUUUUAUUAAUAAAUUAAUUCGUCAACUGCUUUUUAAUUUAAUAAUUUAAUUCUUAAAAUUUUAUUUUAUUAAUAGAAUAAUUUUU